UAGGGAAUCUUCCGCAAUGGGCGAAAGCCUGACGGAGCAACGCCGCGUGAGUGAAGAAGGGUUUUGGUUCGUAAAGCUCUGUUGUUAGGGAAGAAUGAUUGUGUAGUAACUAUACACAGUAGAGACGGUACCUAACCAGAAAGCCACGGCUAACUACGUGCCAGCAGCCGCGGUAAUACGUAGGUGGCAAGCGUUGUCCGGAAUUAUUGGGCGUAAAGCGCGCGCAGGUGGUUUAAUAAGUCUGAUGUGAAAGCCCACGGCUCAACCGUGGAGGGUCAUUGGAAACUGUUAAACUUGAGUGCAGGAGAGAAAAGUGGAAUUCCUAGUGUAGCGGUGAAAUGCGUAGAGAUUAGGAGGAACACCAGUGGCGAAGGCGGCUUUUUGGCCUGUAACUGACACUGAGGCGCGAAAGCGUGGGGAGCAAACAGGAUUAGAUACCCUGGUAGUCCACGCCGUAAACGAUGAGUGCUAAGUGUUGGUCUCAUAAGAGAUCAGUGCUGCAGCUAACGCAUUAAGCACUCCGCCUGGGGAGUACGACCGCAAGGUUG
This 548-nucleotide ribosomal RNA is filed under the name uncultured bacterium. Its description in RNAcentral is "bacterial SSU rRNA". It matches the Rfam family "Bacterial small subunit ribosomal RNA", at positions 355 to 896 of the family's 1533-position model. The record is from RNAcentral.